Lutra lutra (Eurasian river otter) is the source of this 2130-nucleotide long non-coding RNA. RefSeq lists it as uncharacterized. The record is from RefSeq and is a predicted model, not a curated record. The transcript has 3 exons. Lineage: Eukaryota; Metazoa; Chordata; Mammalia; Carnivora; Mustelidae.
GCAGAGCUUCAGAAACUUUCUUCCUCAGAAAUCCAUGUACUGAAAAGUCAAUUUAAUGCCACAUGUUCUGGAGAAACUGAUCACCUGUGUGUGACUUCCUCAUAAGGAUUAAAAAAACGAGUGGGAAAUAAUUGACAGAAUUGAUGGUGAAAACUGGUGAUCUCUACAUCGUAACAGUUUAUCUUCCCAGAAAGGAGAAAGGAACAAUUUGAUAACCUUAAAGUCUUCUCUGACUUAAAAAAAUGGGAAUUUGGUAUCAAACACAUUUGGGAAAUGCUGCAGACUAUACCCACCUAAUGCUCAUUAGACUAUGGAAAGAAAAGUUCUGGGGCAGGAAAUCCAUAGAACUAGAGAGAGGAGGUGAUGUUACCCUGUAGGGGAUGUGGCCAUGUUUGAAGACAUUUUUGGUUAUUAUAACCAAGGGGAUAUACUAUUGGCAUCCAGUGGGUAGAGGUUAAGGUUGCUGCUAAAUAUCUUCCAAGGCACAGACCAGCCCCCCCCCUCCAGCUAAGAAUUACCUGAUCUCAUAUGUCAACAGUGCUGAGCCUGGGAUAUCCUGAUUCAUACCUUUUUAUAACCCAUGAAAUACUUGCUGUAUCACUGCCUUAGUCUUCAGUCAAAAACACAAUCUGCUACUUUCCUGAUAAAAUGCACACUAGGGAUUCAUCCUAUUUGUUAAAAAAAUAUUUGAAGGAAAACUUAAAUAUUUAACUCUGACACCAAUUCCUCAAUCUAGCUGGACCAUUACAUACACGCAUUCUAUCGUGGAUGAGGGAAACAUGGACUGCUUGAAACACAAGGCAAAAAGCAACAAAUACAUAUGACCUAUCAGGCUGUUACAACAAUUUUAAUGCAUGAACACGUUGGAGUAGCCCUUGUUUUCUAGAAGCACCCAUCCUCAUUGAUGCCCUUCUUUCUAAAGUUGGUUACUCUUGCUGAACUUGCCAUGCAGAAUGUCUGUGGAUUAUACUGGACACAUUUGUAUACAUUUGUAACAACCUCCCACUCCCCCCUCCAGAAAAAGGAUGAGGGACACUGAUUGUGGAUUUGCAAAUUCAGUCUGGUAAGGCAACUUUGAGAUCUCAUACUUUCAGCUCAGCCUUGAAAAUCUUUGACUGACCUUGAUGGCUUCCUGGAAUCCCACAUAAUAUUUAAUGGGAAAUUCAAUUCUCCAGAGAAAACUGUUUUCUGAUAGCUAAACAGCAUCGUUCCAUGGGGCUUGUAACUGUGACCUCAACUUUGACUUUUGAUUAGGAAUCCUCCUUCUCCUCACCAGAUGUCUCUUCAGGCCUUCUCAACCUUGGCACUAUUUCAACAUUUUGGCCCCUCCUCCCUGACAUCACGUCCCUGACCCACCACCACUAAGGGGUUCCCGGAUAUUUAACAGCUGAUGACAAGAGGGAAAUCAUGAUUUCACCAACAGAGUUUAAACUGCAAUGAAAUACUUCCCAAACCAUAGCCAAGUCUUGUCCUACCCCUGCCAUGUGGACGGAGGAAUACAGGGGACAAUGAUGGCUGAAGACAGGAACAGAACCCAAAGCUGUAGAGUGUCCUACCAAUGGGAACAGAGGAGACUCAGUGUUGCCCAAAGAAGAGCUUAGUUUUAGCUCAAGAAACAGUUUGGAAGACAUCUCAUUGCAUUUGAUGGCUUUUAUUUCAAACAAAGAGCUUUCAGUGCGAGCUCACUUUUUAAUAAAUUUUAAUUGCAUUAUUCACUUGUAGGGUAGCAGAUUAUGUUCUACAGCAAACCUUAUCACCACAAACAUCUGAAAAUCUCCUAAUUGGCUUUAACAAAAUCUGAUCUAUUGUCCUGAUUAUCUAUGGAUCCACCGAACAAAGAAAACACUUAGAUUUAUUACCCCAAGAUAUUUCAUUUCUCUUUGUAUAUUAAAAUGUCAGACAUAUCACCAGUAAGUGUUUAUUAAUUAGGGGAUACUUUUUUUCCUCAAAAUCUUCUAAAAACACAAAUUUUGCUCUUUAUUUGGUUUUAAUUUAAAGAGAAACAAUUUUCUCAUAUCCAUCCCUUUAGAGCUCUGAAGCAAAACUUGAAAAUGGCUCAGGAAUUCCAGAAUGUUUCAAAUAGUUACAAUUUGGGAGAGCAGAAAAUCUUAAAUUUCCUCUUUCCACAGA